GGGGGCGACAAGGUUUCGACGGAACGGUUGGGGCUUCAGUUGCGCGCCGAGGACUCCGGUAUACUCGACAAUGUCCGGAAAAAACAAACCGCCAACUCUGAAUUGGCUCUCGCGGCUUAAUUAGCCACGACGCUGAACCGCCGAUGUCUGCUGAGCGGGGAAGUGUCAUACAGCAGGCUGGCAUGCCGCCGUGCGACCGGGUAGGCAUGCGACACCGACGUGGACGCUGGCGCAUCAGGUGGCCCGCCCUUGGGCAGCCGGAUGGGCGAGACUCAAUCAAGGGAUACGCGCGUAGAUGCUGAGGUGACUUCGUUUCGGACGGGGGUUCGACUCCCCCCGCCUCCACCA
RNAcentral lists this transfer-messenger RNA (348 nucleotides) under Kiritimatiellia. Its description in RNAcentral is "JAAZAI01 sp012514445 Standard tmRNA". It matches the Rfam family "transfer-messenger RNA". Rfam says of the family: Bacterial tmRNA, also known as 10Sa RNA or SsrA, is named for its dual tRNA and mRNA-like properties. The record is from RNAcentral. RNAcentral also lists the same sequence under 2 other names. Lineage: Bacteria; Pseudomonadati; Kiritimatiellota.